UCCCUACGGGGGGCAGCAGUGGGGAAUAUUGCACAAUGGGGGAAACCCUGAUGCAGCGACGCCGCGUGGGUGAAGGAGUAUUUCGGUAUGUAAAGCCCUAUCCGCAGGGAAGAUAAUGACGGUACCUGACUAAGAAGCCCCGGCUAACUACGUGCCAGCAGCCGCGGUAAUACGUAGGGGGCAAGCGUUAUCCGGAUUUAUUGGGUUUAAAGGGUGCGCAGGCGGAAGAUCAAGUCAGCGGUAAAAUUGAGAGGCUCAACCUCUUCGAGCCGUUGAAACUGGUUUUCUUGAGUGAGCGAGAAGUA
Molecule: ribosomal RNA, 305 nt
Filed under: uncultured bacterium
Lineage: Bacteria
Description: bacterial SSU rRNA
Rfam family: Bacterial small subunit ribosomal RNA
Source: RNAcentral